AAACAUUUCAUGCAGACAGUUUGCACGUGAAGGUGGUUUUUCCAGGGUAAGGCUCAUCCAUCGCACUCCGGGUAUGCUGACCCCUGUGAUUUUUCCAAAUGCAGGAAACUCGACUGCAUAAUUUGCUGGAU
Podarcis lilfordi (Lilford's wall lizard) is the source of this 131-nucleotide non-coding RNA. NCBI's taxonomy places the organism in Eukaryota, Metazoa, Chordata, Lepidosauria, Squamata, Lacertidae. The record is from the annotation of a GenBank genome assembly.